RNAcentral lists this ribosomal RNA (406 nucleotides) under uncultured prokaryote. RNAcentral's name for it is "bacterial SSU rRNA". It matches the Rfam family "Bacterial small subunit ribosomal RNA", at positions 355 to 776 of the family's 1533-position model. The record is from RNAcentral.
UGGGGAAUAUUGGGCAAUGGGGGAAACCCUGACCCAGCAACGCCGCGUGAAGGAAGAAGGUUUUCGGAUUGUAAACUUCUGUCCUUGGUGAAGAGGAAGAGACGGUAGCCAAGGAGGAAGCCCCGGCUAACUACGUGCCAGCAGCCGCGGUAAUACGUAGGUGGCGAGCGUUGUCCGGAAUUACUGGGCGUAAAGGGCGCGUAGGCGGCUUUUUAAGUGAGAUGUGAAAACCCGGGGCUUAACUCCGGGCGUGCAUUUAAAACUGGAGAGCUUGAGUGCAGGAGAGGUAAGUGGAAUUCCUAGUGUAGCGGUGAAAUGCGUAGAUAUUAGGAGGAACACCAGUGGCGAAGGCGACUUACUGGACUGUAACUGACGCUGAGGCGCGAAAGCGUGGGGAGCAAACAGG